Schistosoma haematobium is the source of this 45-nucleotide non-coding RNA. The record is from Rfam. Lineage: Eukaryota; Metazoa; Platyhelminthes; Trematoda; Strigeidida; Schistosomatidae.
ACUCAGCUGACGAAUUCCAAAUAGGACGAAACGCGAGUCCUGGAU